Molecule: ribosomal RNA, 252 nt
Filed under: uncultured bacterium
Lineage: Bacteria
Description: partial 16S ribosomal RNA
Rfam family: Bacterial small subunit ribosomal RNA
Source: RNAcentral
CACGUAGGGUGCGAGCGUUGUCCGGAAUUAUUGGGCGUAGAGCUCGUAGGCGGUGUGUCGCGUCGGCCGUGUAAACCUGCAGCUUAACUGUGGGCGUGCGGUCGAUACGGGCAUCACUGGAGUUCGGCAGGGGAGACUGGAAUUCCUGGUGUAGCGGUGAAAUGCGCAGAUAUCAGGAGGAACACCGGUGGCGAAGGCGGGUCUCUGGGCCGAUACUGACGCUGAGGAGCGAAAGCGUGGGGAGCGAACAGG